ACGAAUUGUGCGAACGUUAUUCGGAAUCACUGGGCUUAAAGGGUGCGUAGGCGGUCAUGUAGGUCUGAUGUGAAAUCCCACGGCUCAACCGUGGAACUGCGUUGGAAACCCCAUGACUGGAGUAGGACAGAGGUGAGCGGAACAGAUGGUGGAGCGGUGAAAUGCGUUGAUAUCAUCUGGAACACCGGUGGCGAAAGCGGCUCACUGGGUCCUAACUGACGCUGAGGCACGAAAGCCAGGGGAGCAAACGGGAUUAGAUACCCCGGUAGUCCUGGCCGUAAACGAUCUGUACUAGUCUGUGGAGACCCCCACAUCUUCACGGACGUAGCGAAAGUGUUAAGUGCUCCGCCUGGGGAGUAUGGUCGCAAGGCUG
RNAcentral lists this ribosomal RNA (373 nucleotides) under uncultured bacterium. RNAcentral describes it as "bacterial SSU rRNA". It matches the Rfam family "Bacterial small subunit ribosomal RNA", at positions 525 to 896 of the family's 1533-position model. The record is from RNAcentral.